UUUUUUGCCCCCAUUAUCCUCCUUUCUGUGUAAACAUUAAUUCAUUUUCUCCCAUCUUUUCUACCCAGCAGAUCUUAAAGAGAGGAAGAGAUUGUAAUGUUCUUCAGGGGAAGCCUUUUGAGAUUGAAAUAUCAUACUUUGAAUGAUAACUCUAUAUCUAUCUAUAAUAUACUAUGGUUUAAUGUUUGGAAAUCAAAUGCAGUAUUUAUUUUUCAUGUGAACUACUAAAAGUAAAUCUGCAUGGACUUCUUGCCUGGUGAGUUACACAGAAAAUGAAAGUGAUUAUCAGUGGCUGUUGCAAGACUGAAGGAACCAUGCCAGAACUUCUGAGGGCAGGAAGAGUGUUUGGGACUGAAAAAUCCUUGUCUGGAUCUAGUCCUCAGCCACUCAGAAGCUGGCAUGCCAUGACUCAAAGGGCUGCCCGUCUGGAAUGAAGACAGUGCCCCAGAACUCCCACCUGAAGAGCAGGUGCUUGGAAAAUGCUGCCAGUCCACAGGAAAAAGUUGUUACUGCUGCUGUCUGUGACCAAGAGGACACUUUAUUUCUUGAAACAACUGGGGGCAAACUGGCUCCCAGAUAAGGCUUCAGUCCCUACUCAUGUGAGGAAACCAGCCCUGCACCUGAGAGUUUAUUCAGUGACGAUAAUACUCACAAGACCCUUUUUGGAUUUGUGGCCCAACCCACAAGUUAUAGUUCCUUCUCUGAAUAUUUCAUCCAGAUUGUGAAAAGCAGCUUCUGGCAGCCACAGUUGUACUAUGUGACCCCUACUUCCCAUGCCCAGGAGUGAUUCGACCCCGUAGUAGACACCUAAAGCAAUCCCGAUCAAUCAGAGUCUUUGUUCCUGACAUUUGGGAUUAGAGCAUGGCUGAAGGUUUAAGACACAAACUUGGAAGCUGUGGGGCAGCAAUACACCUCCAUGAGGACAGAGAAGCAGGGGAAAUAAGAAUAAAGCAGAAGCUCACAGAAACGCAGGAAAUACUUCUAGAGUUCUAACACUUUUCGGGUUUCUUGUUCUAGUCCAUUCUUGACACACUUGUGCCUUACAGAAGCCAAUGGCAAGAAUGCAGUCAGAUCCUUCCAAUAAAUUCCUUUUAUUCUCUUUA
Molecule: non-coding RNA, 1103 nt
Filed under: Pongo abelii (Sumatran orangutan)
Lineage: Eukaryota; Metazoa; Chordata; Mammalia; Primates; Hominidae
Source: RNAcentral